This 1300-nucleotide long non-coding RNA is filed under the name Medicago truncatula (barrel medic). RNAcentral's name for it is "long non-coding RNA (MTRU_LNC008847)". Lineage: Eukaryota; Viridiplantae; Streptophyta; Magnoliopsida; Fabales; Fabaceae. The record is from RNAcentral.
AAUAAUUAAAAGGCAUAAUACUAUUAGUACGAGAUGAAAAAAUUGACACGCUUCUUAAUAUUUGUGUUCAUGGUUUCCGUUAUACAAUUUUCGUUGAUACAUGGAAGGAAACUUUGUGACACGAAAGAGAAACUUGAGACUCUUGCAUUGAUGCUUCCAAAAGGCUUUGUUCCACCUUCGGGGCCAAGUCCAGACAUAGACUAAUCAAUGCCUGAAGUUGCAUUCCACUGCAUGCGUGUUCAUGUAUUUCUAUUGUUUGAUUUUACAAUUUUUGUGACAUUUUGUUUGCAUGUUACUUGUAAAAAAAAGGUUAAUAGGUCUUUACCCCCUGUAAUAUAGGUCAUUUCCGGUUUUUCUCUGUAAAAUUUUUAUUUUGAUUCACCUCCUGUAGAAUGUUUUUGUUUUGAUUUACCUCCUAAUAGGCCAAACGAAAAUGAAAAUUUCUUGAAAAAAAAAAUUUGGUUUUUGUUUGGCCUAUUAGGGAGGUAAAUCAAAACAAAAAUAUUUUACAGGGGUGAAUCAAAAUAAAAAUUAUACAGGGAAAAACCAAAAAUAACCUAUAUUACAGGGGAUAAAGACAUAUUAACCCUAGAAAAAAUUCCAUGAUUACUUGUUUAUCAUUGUUAUUGCAGAAGAAAUAUGCCCACAUAAAAGUCGAUCGAUAUCAAAUUAUCUUGGCUAGUUAAACUUAAUUUACACCCUACAUCACCAAAAAUGUGAUUAUUGCUAACAAUCAUCUCUCUAUUUAUAAAAUAGACUUAACUCGUUAAUUAAUUAAUAAUUUACUUCCACAAGUUAAACUUAGGCUAGGACAAAAUCACUAAAAUUGGUGUUACAAUUAGUGUGGGUCGGACAAACUAUUUUCCAUCAAUUGUAGUUCAAUGAUCAUUACAAGGAAGAAGUGUUCAUGAUAUUCAAGAAAGUUUGAUUCAGUCUAGAAUAUACGAAGAAAUCAUAAAUUGUAUGGAGGAAUCAUAUGAAGUUUGUUUGGUUGGUUCAAGAUCUUGUCUCUGUUUAAUUAUGAUGUUUCAAUUAUUAUUGUUGGUGUAUUAUGUUGAAUUUAUUUUGGUAGAAUGUGAUUUAAUGACAUAAAAGUUGUGUGAAGGGCGGGGAAAUACUUUGUCUAUGUUUUAGACUAUUACCUUUUCCACUUUAUGUGUUUCUCAUGCGUCUAUUUUUUUCUUCCCCAAAACACUCUUUGUUCGGAUUCUAGAAUCCGAACACAGUUUGUAUUAUAGAAUUUGAAACUUUGUAUUAUCCAGAUUUACAUAAUAACAUUGACGUAUAAUAUCAAUAAGGC